This 102-nucleotide Y RNA is filed under the name Saimiri boliviensis boliviensis (Bolivian squirrel monkey). RNAcentral describes it as "Y RNA (ENSSBOG00000006978.1)". It matches the Rfam family "Y RNA". Rfam says of the family: Y RNAs are components of the Ro ribonucleoprotein particle (Ro RNP), in association with Ro60 and La proteins. The Y RNAs and Ro60 and La proteins are well conserved, but the function of the Ro RNP is not known. The record is from Rfam by way of RNAcentral. Lineage: Eukaryota; Metazoa; Chordata; Mammalia; Primates; Cebidae.
GGCUGGUCCGAGUGCAGUGAUGUUUACAACUAAUUGGUCCCUGUCAGCUACAGAUGUAUUUGUUCCGUCUCCAUUCCCACUGCUUCACUUGACUAGCCUUCA